CAGGCCUAACACAUGCAAGUCGAGCGGUAGAGAGAAGCUUGCUUCUCUUGAGAGCGGCGGACGGGUGAGUAAUGCCUAGGAAUCUGCCUAGUGGUGGGGGAUAACGUUCGGAAACGGACGCUAAUACCGCAUACGUCCUACGGGAGAAAGCGGGGGACCUUCGGGCCUCGCGCCAUUAGAUGAGCCUAGGUCGGAUUAGCUAGUUGGUGAGGUAAUGGCUCACCAAGGCGACGAUCCGUAACUGGUCUGAGAGGAUGAUCAGUCACACUGGAACUGAGACACGGUCCAGACUCCUACGGGAGGCAGCAGUGGGGAAUAUUGGACAAUGGGCGAAAGCCUGAUCCAGCCAUGCCGCGUGUGUGAAGAAGGUCUUCGGAUUGUAAAGCACUUUAAGUUGGGAGGAGGGUAGUAACUUAAUACGUUGCUACUUUGACGUUACCGACAGAAUAAGCACCGGCUAACUUCGUGCCAGCAGCCGCGGUAAUACGAAGGGUGCAAGCGUUAAUCGGAAUUACUGGGCGUAAAGCGCGCGUAGGUGGUUCAGUAAGUUGGAAGUGAAAUCCCCGGGCUCAACCUGGGAACUGCAUUCAAAACUGCUGAGCUAGAGUACGGUAGAGGGUGGUGGAAUUUCCUGUGUAGCGGUGAAAUGCGUAGAUAUAGGAAGGAACACCAGUGGCGAAGGCGACCACCUGGACUGAUACUGACACUGAGGUGCGAAAGCGUGGGGAGCAAACAGGAUUAGAUACCCUGGUAGUCCACGCCGUAUACGAUGUCAACUAGCCGUUGGGAGUCUUGAACUCUUUAGUGGCGCAGCUAACGCAUUAAGUUGACCGCCUGGGGAGUACGGCCGCAAGGGUUAAAACUCAAAGGA
RNAcentral lists this ribosomal RNA (871 nucleotides) under uncultured bacterium. RNAcentral describes it as "bacterial SSU rRNA". It matches the Rfam family "Bacterial small subunit ribosomal RNA", at positions 43 to 908 of the family's 1533-position model. The record is from RNAcentral.